RNAcentral lists this ribosomal RNA (254 nucleotides) under uncultured bacterium. RNAcentral describes it as "partial 16S ribosomal RNA". It matches the Rfam family "Bacterial small subunit ribosomal RNA", at positions 103 to 353 of the family's 1533-position model. The record is from RNAcentral.
CGGGUGAGUAACGCGUGAGGAACCUGCCUCAAAGAGGGGGACAACAGUUGGAAACGACUGCUAAUACCGCAUAAGCCCACGGUGCCGCAUGGCACAGAGGGAAAAGGAGCAAUCCGCUUUGAGAUGGCCUCGCGUCCGAUUAGCUAGUUGGUGAGGUAACGGCCCACCAAGGCAACGAUCGGUAGCCGGACUGAGAGGUUGAACGGCCACAUUGGGACUGAGACACGGCCCAGACUCCUACGGGAGGCAGCAUG